This 460-nucleotide ribosomal RNA is filed under the name uncultured bacterium. Its description in RNAcentral is "partial 16S ribosomal RNA". It matches the Rfam family "Bacterial small subunit ribosomal RNA", at positions 338 to 795 of the family's 1533-position model. The record is from RNAcentral.
CCUACGGGAGGCAGCAGUGAGGAAUAUUGGUCAAUGGGCGCGAGCCUGAACCAGCCAAGUAGCGUGAGGGAUGACUGCCCUACGGGUUGUAAACUUCUUUUAUAAAGGAAUAAAGUGAUGCACGUGUGCCUUUUUGUAUGUACUUUAUGAAUAAGGAUCGGCUAACUCCGUGCCAGCAGCCGCGGUAAUACGGAGGAGGCGAGCGUUAUCCGGAUUUAUUGGGUUUAAAGGGAGCGUAGAGGGGUUGUUAAGUCAGUUGUGAAAGUUUGCGGCUCAACCGUAAAAGGGCAAUGGAUACUGGCAGCCUUGAGUACAGGUGAGGUAGGCGGAAUUCGUGGUGUAGCGGUGAAAUGCUUAGAUAUCACGAAGAACUCCGAUUGCGAAGGCAGCUUACUAAUCUGCCACUGACAUUGAUGCUCGAAAGUGUGGGUAUCAAACAGGAUUAGAUACCCGAGUAGUC